MicroRNA precursor from Oryza sativa Indica Group (long-grained rice), 202 nucleotides. It matches the Rfam family "MIR812 microRNA precursor family". NCBI's taxonomy places the organism in Eukaryota, Viridiplantae, Streptophyta, Magnoliopsida, Poales, Poaceae. The record is from Rfam.
CUUCAUUAUACUCAUGAGUUUAUAUGUCCAAUUUUGAUCGAUCGUUUUAUUUGAAUUUUUUUAUGAUUAAUAUUUUUAUUGUUAUUAGAUGAUAAAAUAUAAAUAGUAAUUUACACAUGACUUAUGUUUUUUAUUUUUUUAAAAAAAAUUAAAUAAUACGGAUGAUUAAAAUUGAACACGGAAACUUAUGAUUGUACUUAAA